This 301-nucleotide ribosomal RNA is filed under the name uncultured bacterium. Its description in RNAcentral is "partial 16S ribosomal RNA". It matches the Rfam family "Bacterial small subunit ribosomal RNA", at positions 509 to 809 of the family's 1533-position model. The record is from RNAcentral.
CAGCCGCCGCGGGAAUACGGAGGGUGCAAGCGUUAAUCGGAAUUACUGGGCGUAAAGCGCACGCAGGCGGUCUGUCAAGUCAGAUGUGAAAUCCCCGGGCUUAACCUGGGAACUGCAUUUGAAACUGGCAGGCUAGAGUCUUGUAGAGGGGGGUAGAAUUCCAGGUGUAGCGGUGAAAUGCGUAGAGAUCUGGAGGAAUACCGGUGGCGAAGGCGGCCCCCUGGACAAAGACUGACGCUCAGGUGCGAAAGCGUGGGGAGCAAACAGGAUUAGAUACCCGCGUAGUCCCUGUCUCUUAUAA